GACGAACGCUGGCGGCGUGCUUAACACAUGCAAGUCGAACGGAAAGGCCCUGCUUUUGUGGGGUGCUCGAGUGGCGAACGGGGGAGUAACACGUGAGUAACCUGCCCUUGACUUUGGGAUAACUUCAGGAAACUGGGGCUAAUACCGGAUAGGGGCUACUGCUGCAUGGUGGGGGUUGGAAAGUUUCGGCGGUUGGGGAUGGACUCGCGGCUUAUCAGCUUGUUGGUGGGGUAGUGGCUUACCAAGGCUUUGACGGGUAGCCGGCCUGAGAGGGUGACCGGCCACAUUGGGACUGAGAUACGGCCCAGACUCCUACGGGAGGCAGCAGUGGGGAAUAUUGCACAAUGGGCGGAAGCCUGAUGCAGCAACGCCGCGUGCGGGAUGACGGCCUUCGGGUUGUAAACCGCUUUCGCCUGUGACGAAGCGUGAGUGACGGUAAUGGGUAAAGAAGCACCGGCUAACUACGUG
This 468-nucleotide ribosomal RNA is filed under the name uncultured bacterium. RNAcentral describes it as "partial 16S ribosomal RNA". It matches the Rfam family "Bacterial small subunit ribosomal RNA", at positions 28 to 507 of the family's 1533-position model. The record is from RNAcentral.